This is a long non-coding RNA of Orussus abietinus, 660 nucleotides long. RefSeq lists it as uncharacterized. The transcript has 3 exons. NCBI's taxonomy places the organism in Eukaryota, Metazoa, Arthropoda, Insecta, Hymenoptera, Orussidae. The record is from RefSeq and is a predicted model, not a curated record.
UUGGCCAUGUAGAGCAUAAACCGCUUUGCGAAACCUUCCAGAACCAACUGCAGGCUGCCCACGUGGCAGAGUUCAUUCUCGACAUGUCUACGGGCGAGUUAAUCUCUUCCGAGGACGUUUUUCCUUUUUCCAAGAUGGCGGCUUUUAGUUGGGAUUGAAGUCGUUAAAGGGAAUAGUAACUAAUAAGCCGCAAAAAGAUAAUAAGAGGCGAAGAAUUUCAAGUCUUACGAAUGAUGCGUCGAAACUUUCAAGGGAUGAAACUACGAGAAAAAAAAAACAGAAAGAAAAAACAUUGAAUAUUUGACGGAUUCAUUACUGGCUCGAAGUGAUAUCCAGGAGACGAAGAUCUUCGAGACAUUGACGAGCGAUUGUCUCUCUCUACCCUGAUAAACAUGCUCAUGUCAAUUUGCAUACUCAAUCAUUGGUUAUUUUGAUGCCACAAUUAAUUGCAGUAAAGUUACGUUAUCUGUAUAAUAUCACAUUCAGCAUGUAAGUUAAGUUAAAGAAAACUAUAACGUAAUAUUACAUCCAAUUCGAGUGAAAAUGCACUAAUACGGUAAAUAUCCAAUGUUACGUAUAUUUAUACAUUUUAUGAUUUGUAAUUUUUCCAUUUUACGUUUCCCUAUGUAAACCUUCAGUUAUGAGGUAUGUAAAAAUGUA